RNAcentral lists this ribosomal RNA (519 nucleotides) under uncultured eukaryote. RNAcentral describes it as "partial 18S ribosomal RNA". It matches the Rfam family "Eukaryotic small subunit ribosomal RNA", at positions 1161 to 1698 of the family's 1831-position model. The record is from RNAcentral.
AGGCCACCACCAGGAGUGGCGCCUGCGUCUUUUUUUCUCUCAACGCGAGAAAACUCACCCGCCCCGCCCCCUGGAGGGAUAGACAGAUUGAGAUCUUUUUCUUGAUUGAGUGGGUGGGGGGGCAUGGCCGUCCUUAGUUGGGGGAGGGAUUUGUUUGGUUAAUUCCGAUAACGAACCACACCCUAGCCUAUUUUUAGAUCGUCGGCUUACAAACCCCGGCAAGCCUUUUUAGAGGGGCAGGCGCUGCUUCUCCCCCACUAACUAAAGCACUACCUUGUCUGUGACGCCUUUAUAUGUCCGGGGCCGCACGCGCGCUACACUGAAGUGAUCAGCGUGCAUUUUGAAACCUACUCUGUCAAGAGUGGGGAACCCAAUGAACCCUCUUCGUGAUUGGGAGAGGGGAUUGUAACUAUUCGCUUCGAUCGAUGAAUACACAGCAAGCCCGAAUCAAAAUUUUGAGAUGAUUCGUUCCUGUCCUUUGUACACACACGCCCCAUCGCUACUACACAUUGAAUGUUU